RNAcentral lists this ribosomal RNA (2111 nucleotides) under human gut metagenome. RNAcentral's name for it is "bacterial LSU rRNA". It matches the Rfam family "Bacterial large subunit ribosomal RNA", at positions 14 to 2140 of the family's 2925-position model. The record is from RNAcentral.
AGGGCAUACGGCGGAUGCCUAGGCGCCAUCAGCCGAUGAAGGACGCGGUAAGCUGCGAAAAGCUACGGGGAACUGCAAGCAAGUAUUGAUCCGUAGAUGUCCGAAUGGGGAAACCCACCUGCCGUCAUGGGCAGGUAUCCGAAAGGAAGGGAACCCGGGGAACUGAAACAUCUAAGUACCCGGAGGAAGAGAAAUCAAACGAGAUGCCCACAGUAGCGGCGAGCGAAGAGGGCAGAGGGCAAACCGGGGAGCUACGGCUCUCUGGGGUUGAGGACUGCAUUUAGUCUCAAUGGUUUAUCCGAACUACCUGGAAAGGUAGGCAACACAGUGUAAAAGCCACGUAGGUUAAAGGCCAGAGAGAUGAGCAGUAUCCAGAGUACCACGAGGCACGAGGAAUCUUGUGGGAAGCCGGGGGGACCACCCUCCAACCCUAAACACUGAAUGGCGACCGAUAGCGCAUAGUACCGUGAGGGAAAGGUGAAAAGAACCCCGGGAGGGGAGUGAAAGAGAACCUGAAACCGUAUGUCUACAAGCAGUCGGAGCGAAAGCGACGGCGUGCCUAUUGAAGAAUGAACCAACGAGUUACGUGCACUAGCGAGGUUAAGUGGAAGACACGGAGCCGAAGCGAAAGCGAGUCUUAAGAGGGCGGAUAGUUAGUGUACGUAGACCCGAAACCGCAGUGAUCUACCCAUGUCCAGGUUGAAGCGCAGGUAAAAUUGCGUGGAGGACCGAACCUGUGAGCGUUGAAAAGCUUUAGGAUGAGAUGUGGGUAGAGGUGAAAUUCCAAUCGAACGCGGAGAUAGCUGGUUCUCCCCGAAAUAGCUUUAGGGCUAGCCUCAAGUAGUAAGUAUAGGCGGUAGAGCACUGAUCGGGCUAGGGGCCAUAAAGGUUACCGAACCCUGUCAAACUCCGAAUGGUUAUACUGUAGAGCUUGGGAGUCAGACUACGAGUGAUAAGAUCCGUGGUCAAAAGGGAAACAGCCCAGACCACCAGCUAAGGUCCCCAAUGUCGUACUAAGUGGAAAAGGAUGUGGGGUCUCUAAAACAACCAGGAUGUUGGCUUAGAAGCAGCCACCAUUUAAAGAGUGCGUAAUAGCUCACUGGUCGAGAGACCCUGCGCCGAAGAUUACCGGGGCUAAAGUACGAAACCGAAGCUGUGGCUACGACUUAGGUCGUGGGGUAGGGGAGCGUUCUGUGAGGGCUGAAGUCGUUCUGUAAGGAACGGUGGACUUCACAGAAGUGAGAAUGUUGGUAUGAGUAGCGAAAAGAAUGGUGAGAAUCCAUUCCACCGAAAGCAUAAGGAUUCCUGGGCAACGAUCGUCGUCCCAGGGUAAGUCGGGACCUAAUCCGAGGCAUGGAGCGUAGGAGAUGGACAACUGGCAGAUAUUCCAGUACCGGUAAUGAUUGUUUGAGCGAUGGAGUGACACAGGAGGGCAGGCAGGCAGGAGAUUGGUUGUUCCUGUACAAGCGUGUAGGGUGGAAUGUAGGCAAAUCCGCGUUCUAUGAGCCUGAGGCGUGAUGUGGAGGUUCCGGAAACGGAACCGAAGCUGCUGACCCCACACUGUCGAGAAAAGCUUCUAGUUAGAGAAUUACCGCCCGUACCGUAAACCGACACAGGUGGAUGCGGGGAGAGAAUCCUAAGGUGCGCGGGAGAACCCUCGUUAAGGAACUCGGCAAAAUGUACCCGUAACUUCGGGAUAAGGGUAGCCGCUGUUGUGAAGUCUGAACAGACGGAGCAUGAGGCGGUCGCAGAGAAGAGGCCCAAGCGACUGUUUACCACAAACACAGGUGCCUGCUAAAGAGAAAUCUGACGUAUAGGUGCUGACACCUGCCCAGUGCCGGAAGGUUAAGGAAGGAUGUCCGGAGCAAUCCAAAGCAUUCGACCGAAGCCCCGGUGAACGGCGGCCGUAACUAUAACGGUCCUAAGGUAGCGAAAUUCCUUGUCGGGUAAGUUCCGACCCGCACGAAAGGUGUAACGAUUUGGGCACUGUCUCAACGAGGGACCCGGUGAAAUUGAAAUACCUGUGAAGAUGCAGGUUACCCGCGACUGGACAGAAAGACCCCAUGGAGCUUUACUGUAACCUGACAUUGGGUUCUGAUACAUCACGUACA